GACGAACGCUGGCGGCGUGCUUAACACAUGCAAGUCGAACGGAAAGGCCCUGCUUUUGUGGGGUGCUCGAGUGGCGAAGGGGUGAGUAACACGUGUGUAACCUGCCCUUGACUUUGGGAUAACUUCAGGAAACUGGGGCUAAUACCGGAUAGGAGCUCCUGCUGCAUGGUGGGGGUUGGAAAGUUUCGGCGGUUGGGGAUGGACUCGCGGCUUAUCAGCUUGUUGGUGGGGUAGUGGCUUACCAAGGCUUUGACGGGUAGCCGGCCUGGGAGGGUGACCGGCCACAUUGGGACUGCGGUACGGCCCAGACUCCUACGGGAGGCAGCAGUGGGGAAUAUUGCACAAUGGGCGGAAGCCUGAUGCAGCGACGCCGCGUGCGGGAUGACGGCCUUCGGGUUGUAAACCGCUUUCGCCUGUGACGAAGCGUGAGUGACGGUAAUGGGUAAAGAAGCACCGGCUAACUACGUG
This 468-nucleotide ribosomal RNA is filed under the name uncultured bacterium. RNAcentral describes it as "partial 16S ribosomal RNA". It matches the Rfam family "Bacterial small subunit ribosomal RNA", at positions 28 to 507 of the family's 1533-position model. The record is from RNAcentral.